AGAUCCUGUGAUCCUCAAGAACCUGGGAAUCCAAACAGGUGAAUCUAAGGAAAGCGCAGAAAAAGAGAGAAGCGCCAUUCCAGUGAAUGGAGAAAGAAUCUGAACUGCCCAUAUGGUGAUUUUCAGGGGAAAGCAGCUCACAAGAGCUGUACCACUGUAGUGUGAGGCUGAUCUCAUGUGGUGGCAAACAGAUGGAGGCAAGAAACUGGUCAUUCAUCUCCAGCAGCUCAGUGAGACUCUGCAGCAAUCUCUCCCUGGGAGCAGUGGAGAAAGAGAACCGGCCUGCCUUUAAGUAAGAAAAUACCCCAAGGACACUGGAUCUCAGCAUUAAAUCCAAGCCUCGGGAAACAGCCUCCAUAAGACAAACAAGGAAAGAAAUAAACCCCGCUGUCCUGCCAAGAGCAGCCACGUGCUUCCUAUGUCUUCAUUCUCGGAGGGAAUGCUGCUCUCACCAGGAGGAUCCAUGCAAGGAAGAGAGCAAUGAAGCCUCUUUGGACCCAACCAGAUGUCUCUGCAGCUGAACAGUAUUGCCAACACCGCGAGAGAUCUAUAGGCACUUAUCUGAGCUGAAAAUCAGAGCCAAGCUGUGGAAUUAAGACAGGAAAGCCUACUUCACAGAUGACGGGGAUGAAAACUCGUAACUCAUCUGUCAGGGGAAGUUGAGCCCCAGCACGGUGUGAUGUGGAGAUGCGGUACAUGACAUCUGGGCACUCCCG
Molecule: long non-coding RNA, 716 nt
Organism: Centrocercus urophasianus (Greater sage-grouse)
Lineage: Eukaryota; Metazoa; Chordata; Aves; Galliformes; Phasianidae
Exons: 5
Source: RefSeq, a predicted model, not a curated record